This is a long non-coding RNA of Brassica oleracea var. oleracea, 570 nucleotides long. RefSeq lists it as uncharacterized. The record is from RefSeq and is a predicted model, not a curated record. The transcript has 4 exons. NCBI's taxonomy places the organism in Eukaryota, Viridiplantae, Streptophyta, Magnoliopsida, Brassicales, Brassicaceae.
UUCUCUGUGUUCCGCUGUUGAAAAAAAAACCCAUCUCUCUCUCUCUCUCUCUCUCUCCCUCUAUUUGGUACAUGAUUCACGAUCUCGUCUCCGCUACUGUUCUCUCUCAUUGUCGGAGCCAUGACAAAACCUUGAUGAAGAAGAGGCCAGUUGGCCCAAUCAGACCUCGAUGUCUAAUUUCGGUUUUUUCCCAGAAUUUUUGAUGAAAAAGAAGAGGAAUUUGGGGAAGAAAAGCUGAGGUUAAUUUGCUUACAGUUUAGAAUUUGGAUUACAACUUUUAAAUGGUAUGUAUUUGCUUGAGACUCCAAAAGAUGAGCAAGUUGAAAUUGAAGAAUUCAUGAGGGUGGACAAUAUGUAAGGAAGAAAGGCUGAACGCCCUUUUGUACAUGUGGGUAUGUAAACCGAUGUACAGCCAGUUCGCCACACCCUUUUGUACAUGUGGAUAUAUAAACCGAUGUAUAACCAAUUCGCACACACCUUUUUGUACAUGUGGAUAUGUAAAGCGAUGGACACAUAUAUAGCACUAAAACAUUAUACAUGUGGAAAUUUUGAAUGAGAUUUGUACUUUUA